Apis dorsata (giant honeybee) is the source of this 936-nucleotide long non-coding RNA. RefSeq lists it as uncharacterized. The transcript is spliced from 2 exons. NCBI's taxonomy places the organism in Eukaryota, Metazoa, Arthropoda, Insecta, Hymenoptera, Apidae. The record is from RefSeq and is a predicted model, not a curated record.
UUGAGUAUAUUCCAGAAAUAAACAAACAAACAAUACAAUUGAUACUGUUUCAUCAAUCACUAGAGAAACGAAAGGGAUAGGGAAAAAGAAAAGAAAAGAGAGAUAAACUGAUUUGGAUGAAAAGAUUGAACGAUAGAAAGGUGGAGAAGAGGGUUAAAAUUCGUGGGUGUUCAUCCAGGCGUGAAUCAACCGACAAACGGUGCAUGCUGCUAGGAGACAAAACAACGACGAAAACGAGAAGCGAGGGAGUUCGGUAAAGCAUCUGGAAGCGGAUGCUUGGAAAAACAAGCUGACUGCCGUUGAAAGGGGAUUAAAAGCAGGAAUGCAAGGAUUCCUUUAAUACAGAGCUGGCAGCUGGCUGAUGAAGAAUAAAUGUUAGAACAUCGUAACAUAAUCAGGAUGAUAGGAAACAAAUUUAAUAAGGCUAAUAAAGAUAAAUAUAUAAAUGCAAAAUGGUCGAAGGUAGAAGAUUUAUUGUUGUGCGACUGCAUCGCUACUGUACAGAGAACUGCAUUAAGGCGGUAGGAACUAUCAGAGAGGUUCUCUCUAGUUGCAACAUCGUCGGGAAACUACACCGAACAACUGUCUCGGCGUAACCGAACUCGAAUACAUCACCGUCGUAGUUUCAACCCGAAGCUUCCGGUACUUACCGAAAACUUAUCAGACAACGGAAGUGUCGUUGACUCAUAACCAUCGACUUAUUACCUCCUCAUUGCUUAAUUUUCAAAUAAAUAAUAAUGAUAUUAUUAUUAUUAUUUUUUUCCCUUACAUUAUGGAUUAGUAAAGAUCGGAUUAAGAUGGCGAAUGUCAUCUUUUUCUCUCAUUGUUAAUACAUAUUAUAAUAAUUUUUCCUUAUGCUAUCUUUGUAUUUACAAGGUAUUGAUUCUAAAAUAAAUAUAAAAAUAUAUAUAAUAUAUAAAAAUGUCGGUUGAAACU